This is a non-coding RNA of Parasteatoda tepidariorum (common house spider), 612 nucleotides long. The record is from RefSeq and is a predicted model, not a curated record. Lineage: Eukaryota; Metazoa; Arthropoda; Arachnida; Araneae; Theridiidae.
AAGGUUCAGUAAUAAGAUAUUUUUCACAUCACGAAUAUUGUUAAAUUUCUUUUGUAUUUUUUAAUAAUGGCUACAUAAACUUACUGCCCUGGUAACAUUUGUAAACAAACAAUUAGUUGCAUCAAGUUUCUAUGCUUCAAACUGCAAAUUUUUAUUUAAACUGCCAAAAUUCUGGUUUAUGUUCAUUCUAGUUUCAAAUUGUAAAAAAAUAUAUUAUGUUUUUCUAAAAUGGACAGUCUUGGAAAGGAUUGUAUAGAGCUGAAAAAAGAAUAUGAAAAAUGUUUUAAUUAUUGGUAUUCGGAAAGGUUUUUGAAAAACAAGGAAGGAGAUUUAAGUAUUUGUGAGCCUUUGUUUCAAGAGUACCAGAAAUGUUUAAAGGUUGCCAUAAAGAAAAACAAUAUACCCCUAUGGGAAUUAGAUAAAGUACAAAAUGAAAAUAUCAAGAAAAGUCAUGAAUCAGGCACUUCUGCAUAACUGAUUUUGUAGUAAUUUGUUUUUAUACAAUUAUUUAUUGUUUGUAACAUUUAUUUGUCGUUCAUCUGCAUUGUUAUCCUAAAACUAGAAUGUUUAUGAUAUGAGAGUCAUAAUAAAUGUCAAUUGAAUUUUUUUCUA